GUCACUCUGAGUCUCCACCCCUGUUACAGCAAAAAGGGUGCCAAAGUCCAGUCCUUCCUCUUCCAUUGCAUUUUAACCCUUUCAGCUCUCCCCCCGCGCUUUCAAAAGAAGAACCCUCCGCACUCUGUUUCUCUGCUGGUUGCAUAGCAACCCCCUCACUGCCAUCUAACUCUCCCCCCCUUCUUGUGAGCUGUCCAAGUCUGCUGCUCCAGCUGAGUCAGGGAACUCUUGGUGAAGGGGGGCUGAGCUCACCCACACCUGCUCUGUCUGCAUUCUUUCAUCUCCAGGGUCAGACUCUGACGCUCUUUGUACUAGCAAUCCUUCAUCUCCAGUGUAGGACUCUUCCCAGGCAUUCAAUUCAGCCACGUCCCUGACAUAGAACAUAUAAUUAAAUGGUUGGUCUGUUAGCACUCGGAAAAGGAUGUUGUGAUUACUAAGACCCAACAUACGUUUCUCAAAAACUUAUUUACUUUUUGGAUAGAGUUAAAAACUUAGUGGAUCAGUAAUGCUGUUGACAUAGAUUCAGGUAGGUAGCCGUGUUGGUCUGACGCAGUCAAAAUAAUAAAUAAAUAUUUUUUUAAAAAAAAUAUGUCCAGGAGCACCUUAGAGACCAACUAAGUUUGUUCUGGGUAUAAGCUUUUGUGUGCAGGCACACUUUUUCAGAUACCUGACAUAGUGGCUGUUGACAUAGUUUAUCUUCCUUUCAGUACAGUGGUACCUCAGGUUACAGACGCUUCAGGUUACAGACUCCACUAACCAAGAAAUAGUACCUCGGAUUAAGAACUUUGCUUCAGGAUAAGAACAGAAAUCGUGCAGCGGCAGCGGAACGCCCCAUUAGCUAAAGUGGUACCUCGGGUUAAGAACAGUUUCAGGUUAAGAAUGGACCUCCAGAAUGAAUUAAGUUCUUAACCCGAGGUACCACUGUAAGGCUUUUGACAAAGUGCCCCAUUUUAUUCUUGCUGAGAAGCCAUUAAAAUGUGGGCUGGACAAAGUUAUUGUUAGGUAGAUUUCCAGCUAUUAAUUGACCAAACCCAAAUAGUGUUCUCUAAUGGUUCCUCACCAUCCUGGAAAAAAGUGACAAGUGGGGUGCCACAGGGUUCUGUCCUGGGCCCAUAGGUGUUCAGUAUCUUUAUAAAUAACUCAGAUGAAGGAACUGAGGGGAUACUCAUCAAAUUUGCAAAUGACAUCAAAGGGGGGGGGUAGCCAAUGCCUGAAAAGACAGAAUCAGAAUUUAAAUUGACCUUAACAGAUUGGAGAACUGGGCCCAAACUAACAAAAAUGAAUUUCAAUAGGGACGCGGAUGGUGCUGUGGGUUAAACCACAGAGCCUAGGGCUUGCCGAUCAGAAGGUCUGCAGUUUGAAUCCCUGCGAUGGGGUGAGCUCCCGUUGCUCGGUCCCUGCUCCUGCCAACCUAGCAGUUCGAAAGCACAUCAAAGUGCAAGUAGAUAAAUAGGUACCACUCUGGUGGGAAGGUAAACGGUGUUUCCAUGCGCUGCUCUGGUUUGCCAGAAGUGGCUUAGUCUUGCUGGCCACGUGACCCAGAAGCUGUACGCUGGCUCCCUCGGCCAAAAAAGUGAGAUGAGCACCACAACCCCAAAGUUGUCCACGACUGGACCUAAUGGUCAGGGGUCCCUUUACCUUUACCUAACAGAUUGGAGAACUGGGCCCAAACUAACAAAAAUGAAUUUCAAUAGGGGCAAAUGUCAGGUUCUUCACCUAGGCAGGAAGAACCAGCUGCACAAAUAUAAAAUGGGGGACAACUAGAGUGCUAAGGGAUCUUAGUAAUCCAAAAGCUUCAGGGGAGUCAAGAGUGUGUGGUAGAAGCAAAAAAAAACCCCAAAACAAAAAAACCCCUAAUGCUAUUCUAGCCUGCAUUAACAAAAAUAUAGUGUCCAGAUCAAGUGAAGUCAUCUUCCCACUCAAUUCUGCCUUGUUUAGACCACACCUGGAGUACUGUGUUCAGUUCUUGGCACCACAAUUUAAGAAGGAUAUUGAGAAGCUGGACUGUGUGCAUGGGAGGGCAACCAAGAUGAUAAACGUUCUGGAAACCAAUCAUUAUGAGGACCAAUUGAAGGAAUUGGUUAUGUUUAGCUUGGAAAAGAGUCUGAGAGGAGAUUUGAUAGCCAUCUUCAAAUAUCUCAAGGGCUGGCACAUGGACGAUGGAAUAAGCUUGCUUUCUCCUACUGUGGAGGGUAGGACUCAGAUCAGUGCAUUCAAGUUACAAGAAAGGCAAUUCUGACUAAACAUCAGGAAUAACUUUUGGGUGGUAAGAGCUGUUGGACAGUGGAACAGACUCCAUCGGAAGGUGGUGGUCUGUUCUUCACUGGUGGUUUUUAAGCAGAGAUUGGGUAGCCAUCUGGCAUGGAAGCUUUAGUUGAGCUUCCUGCAUUGCAAGGGGUUGGAUUAGAUGACCCUCAUUCUAUGACUCAUUCUAGGUGCUGAUCUGUGGCCACACACCCAACAGCUGCACAGGAAUCUUCUCCUCAAUCUUCCAUCCAUCCCAGCCACCUACUUGUGAGCCUUGGUCUAUAUUUCCUAAUCCACAAACAAACACCAGCAUGCAGCAAAGGCAAAAUAAGGCUAAUUAAUGUCCUGACCUUUAUCAACCUCUUUCUCUCUCUGUCCCAAGCUGUACUUUAGAAACUCUGACGGGGAUGAUAAUUGAACUGUCUUCCUUUAAUUUGUGGAAAUGAAUUCUUAGUUGGUUCUUAUUAGUCAAUUAUAUCGCCUGGAAGGAAUUAGAACAGAUUGAUCAGGCCCUUUCCGUUAAUAGCAGUUAUAAGGAAAUACCAGCCAUCAUCUCCAAAGGUUCCGCUACGCACUUGGCUGGCCUUUGGUCAAGUAAUAUACAGAUAUAGAUACAAAACGGCAAGGGGUUCUUGGUUUGAUCUCAGUCUCGUGAUCCACAGCUUAGCGCUCAUUUCCAUAUUUGCAAACACAUCCCCCCCCCCCCGGACACUGGAAAUGAGCACUAAACAUAUGCUAUAUUCCACUGUACUUCCGGAAGUUAAGGUUUGAUGUGCAUAGAUGGCACAAUAUAAAUUCAUGAUGAUAUCUGCAGCCAUUUUCUUACCGGAAAGUGUACAUCAGGUACAUCAGGUACAGUGUACAUCCAAGUGUUCAACCAUGUUGGUUAUCAGUUGAAGGUAGUGGUGGUUGGAAGGGGGAAAUCCCUUAAAGUCAGAAAACUUAUUUUAAAAAUAUGUUCUAUUUUAUAAUAUACAGUCGUUUACCUUGGUUUCUGAACAGCUUAGUUCUCGAACGUUUUGGCUCCCAAACGUCGCAAAUCUGGAAGUGACUGUUCUGGUUUGUGAACUAUUUUUGGAAGCCGAACAUCCGACGGGGCUUCCGUGGCUUCAGAUUGGCUGCAGGAGCUACCUGCAGCCAAUCAGAAGCCGCACUUUGGUUUUCAAACGUUUUGAAAGUCAAACGGACUUCCAGAAUGGAUUCCGUUCAACUUCCAAGGUACGACUGUAUAUAAACAAUUAUAAGAACAGGUGAAAAGGAAUUUAAAAUGAAUAGAGAUACAAAUGAGCAAAGUAACAAAUAUAGAUACAAAUCAGUUAAGUAACAAAGUCCUGUUCAUGAAAGAAAGAAAAAAGUGGGAAUAAUUGUACUCUGCUAAUUUAAAUGAAUUUGGCAUGCUAGCAGGUUUUAAGGUUAAUCAUCAAAAAACCCAAGAAUACAACAUAUGACAACAGAAGAUCAAAAGACUUUAAUGGAGAAAACUGAAUUUCAAAUUGGAACAAAGUAAAGUAUUUGGGUAUUACCAUGACAAAUACAAAUUGUAUGUUGUUUCAAAAUAAUUAUGUUAAGACAUGGAUGGAAAUUAAAAAGAUAUGUUGGGAAAAAUUAAUAUUGUCCUUGGUGGGUAGAAUUUUUGUGAUAAAGAUGACUAUAUUGCACAGAAUGAUGUUUUUGUUCCAUUACAGCUAAUGACUUACAGUACCAUUCAAACAAUGGCAAAAAGACUUAUCAAGGUUUGGAGGGGGGAGGGACAACACCAUGUUUUAAAAUAUUAGAAGAUGCAAAGGAAAAGGGAGGAUUGGUGUACCAAACCUUAAACUGUAUUUUGCAGCCUGUUUUUAGUGUGGAUGCAGGACUGGAUGAGAUUGAGAAAUAAGAGACUCCUGGGAACAUAGGGACAUGACCUAAAGUUUGGAUGGCGUGGAUAUUUGUGGCACCACAAAGUUAAAGUGGACUUUAAAAAUCACUUUACUAUAUGUGCCAUAUUAAUAAUUUGGAAUGAAUACAAACCUGGAUUGUGUCCAAAGACACCGUUAUGGAUCUUAUCACAAGAAGCUUCCUACAGAAAAGAGAUAAAAUGCAAAGAGAAAUGUACAACGUGCCAAGAAUUUUUAAAAUUGCAUCAAGGAGAUUAUAAAAUUAAAAGAAGACAACAGCUAAUAGAGGAAGGUUAUAAUUUUCGGUGAUUUUCUUAUAUGCCAUUAGCAGAGAGGUUUAAAUUGGAUUAAAACACAUUUGGUAUAGAUAUAGAACAAGGAAAGACCGGCUUUGAAACUUAACUGAGAGCAGAAGAUGAACAUCUUGCUGCAAAGAUGUAUAAACUUUUGUUGAAAUUCAAAGCCGAAGAAGAACAAGUUAAAGAACGUAUUAUUAAUUGGGCAAAAUAUUUUUGUUAUAAUAUACAGAUGGAACAGGGGGAGUAUAUGCGGACUAAAGGGUUAAAAUUUACGUUGUGUUAUAAUGUCAAAGAGAACUUUUAUAAAAUGAUGCAUCAUUUUUAUUUAACUCCUGAGAAAUUGUUUAGAAUAUGCAAAAGUGUUUCAGGUAUUUUCUGGAAGUGCCAAGAACAUGAGGAGACAUUUGCUCGUGCUUGGUGGACAUGUGAAAAGGCUAAAAAUACAAAUACAUACAUUGAAAGAGAAGAUUUUUAAAGAUUAAUAUCCAAUUGAAGCCAGAACCUUUUUCUUUUAGGAUUAAUGGAUACAUGAUUGGAAAGGUUUAUGGAAGAUUAUUCCAAUAUAUGAUUACAUCAGCAAGAUUGUUGUACUCACAAAGUUGGAAAGACACAGUUCUACCUACUACGGAAGAAUGACUGAUAAAAUUAUUGGACUUAGGUGAGAUGGCAAAGUUAAUGCGUAAUUUGAGAAAAAUCAUUAUUGACCUUUAUUAAGAAUUGGAAGGAGGGACGCGGGUGGUGCUGUGGAUUAAACCACUGAGGCUAGGACUUGCCGAUCAGAAGGUCGGUGGUCCAAAUCCCCGCAACGAGGUGAGCUCCCAUUGUUUGGUCCCUGCUCCUGCCAACCUAGCAGUUCGAAAGCAUGUCAAAGUGCAAGUAGAUAAAUAGGUACCACUCAGGUGGGAAGGUAAAUGGUGUUUCUGUGCACUGCUCUGAUUCGCCAGAAGUGGCUUAGUCAUGCUGGCCACAUGACCCGGAAGCUGUACGCUGGCUCCCUCAGCCAAUAAAGCGAGAUGAGCGCCGCAACCCCUGGACCUAAUGGUCAGGGGUCCCUUUACGUUUAAGAAUUGGAAAUGUCUUAUGGACUUUAUGCAUGAAAGAGAAAAUGAACUUGUAAUAUUUGGAUUUGAAGAUUAAAAAAAUAUUGGCUUAUAGAAAAUAGAACAGUUGGGUGUCAAUGAGUGAAUAUUAAAUUUAGCCGACUUUUAAAAUCUUUUUUCUAUUUCCUUUCUUUUCUCUCUUUUUUCAUUUUUCUUUCUUUUCUUCCCCCUCCUCUUCCCCUCUCCCUUUUCUUUGCUCCUGUUCCAUUUUAGAUUUUAAAAUUAUUUCUUUUAUUCUGGUGUAUUGGAUAUAAACCUUUUUAUAUCUUUUGGCAAAUAAAUAAAGAGAAAGAGAAAGAGAAACCGUAUUUUGCUCAAUUCUAGUAGCAAUAUUCUGUUGGGAGCCGCCCAAAGUGACUGGGGCAACCUAGUCACAUGGGUGGCAUUUAAGUAAUAAAAUUAUUGUUGUUUUUAUUAUGGAAAUAAGGGGACUGGGUUUACACAUUUCUGGCACACCUGCAAGGACUCUUUCACUGCCUCAAACAGGCUGCAUUUAGCCAAGGAAUUAGGUGGAGCUCAUGAUUAAUUAAUCAUGUUUAUUUAUCAACAAUUAUAGCAAUGACAGACGUCAAUCUCUUGCCUUUGUUAUGCAUCUAAGACUAGAAAGUCCAGUCAUUAGGCAGGGAGUAAAUAUGCAAGUCAUCAUGCCCAGGGGUGUAUCAUAUCCCGUAGGAGAGGCCUUGAGAUGGUAUAAAAAGUUAUCUGGACCCAAUGAUGUCUUCAUUCACUCACUUUCAACUUCUCGGCUGGUUCCUGUUGCUGGAGAGGGUAAGUCAAGUCCGUAUGCUUGCAUGCAUUUGACCGAUAACAGAACUAAGUCAUUCAGCUGGAGUUGAAAAUGGAAGAUGAACUAAUUAUAAAACGAUAGCUUCUGGUUGUGCAAGAGGAUGUUUUAGAGAAUGGGUUUUGAUGCAAUCAACGACUGCUUAAGAGAAAUUUAUAUAUGAUAAUAUAUUUCUAGUGCAAAGUAAAGAAGCAGUUAUGUAUAGGGUUAGCAAAUAGACACAGAUGCACCACAGAUUUGAUUUUGAAACCAAAUUCAAUGCUCCAUUUAGAGGUUGCCGCCAUAACUCUGUACAAUGGUACCUCAGGUUACAGGUACUUCAGGUUACAGACUGCUAACCCAGAAAUAGUACCUCAGGUUAAGAACUUUGCUUCAGGAAGAGAACAGAAAUCAUGCUCUGGUGGCACGGUGGCAGUGGGAGGCCCCAUUAGCUAAAGUGGUACCUCAGGUUAAGAACAGUUUUGGUUAAGAACGGACCUCCGGAACCAGUUCUUAACCAGAAGUAGCACUGUCUAGGCAUUUCAUUUUCAAUGAGUGAAUCAGUAAUCAAUUCGCAGAAGCAGUUUGGUUUUGACACUGGAAUUCAUAUUGCAUUUCUUACAUUGAUUCCUUUUUGUUUGGAUUUGCAUGCCCCUUUGAGAUUUCGGUACAAAAUCUCGGAUACAAUUGGCUUUGCCAUAUUACAAUGCCAUUACCUCCAUCAUAUGCUCCCUGUUGCUGUCUGGAUGAAAAGUCUCCUUGAGCUCUGGGGAUGCUUCUUGUGUGCCUGAAUGGAGAACAGGGAGUGGUUUGGGAGUGUGUGCAGAAACCAGCCUACUGCACAAAGGUGAAAUUUGCCUUUGCUGCCCCUCCCACUUUUGCUCCUGACUCUUCUUCCCAUUGCCAUGUGAACCCUUGGAAGGUUGUUGGUGCAUGAAAGGCUGAUUUUGUCUUACUUAUCUUCCAGAGCUAAACCACCAGAAGGGAAACAAAACAGGAGAAAGAACACGCUCCACACCAACAUAGGAAGAUGAGUUCUAUGCAGCAGAAGCAGGGUGGUGGC
Molecule: non-coding RNA, 7349 nt
Organism: Podarcis lilfordi (Lilford's wall lizard)
Lineage: Eukaryota; Metazoa; Chordata; Lepidosauria; Squamata; Lacertidae
Source: the annotation of a GenBank genome assembly